This 274-nucleotide ribosomal RNA is filed under the name uncultured bacterium. RNAcentral's name for it is "partial 16S ribosomal RNA". It matches the Rfam family "Bacterial small subunit ribosomal RNA", at positions 523 to 796 of the family's 1533-position model. The record is from RNAcentral.
ACACGUACCGGACGAACGUUAUUCGGAAUUACUGGGCUUAAAGAGUGCGUAGGCGGCUUUGUAGGUGGGGUGUGAAAGCCCACGGCUCAACCGUGGAAUUGCGCUUCAAACCACAAGGCUUGAGGGAGACAGGGGUGAGCGGAACUGAUGGUGGAGCGGUGAAAUGCGUUGAUAUCAUCAGGAACACCAGUGGCGAAGGCGGCUCACUGGGUCUCUUCUGACGCUGAGGCACGAAAGCUAGGGUAGCGAACGGGAUUAGAAACCCCGGUAGUCC